This 480-nucleotide ribosomal RNA is filed under the name Occidozyga laevis. Its description in RNAcentral is "partial 16S ribosomal RNA". It matches the Rfam family "Bacterial large subunit ribosomal RNA", at positions 1851 to 2539 of the family's 2925-position model. Lineage: Eukaryota; Metazoa; Chordata; Amphibia; Anura; Dicroglossidae. The record is from RNAcentral.
GGUCCAGCCUGCCCAGUGAUAAUUCAUUCAACGGCCGCGUAAUUUAAAGCGCGCAAAGGUAGCGUAAUCACUUGUUCUUUAAAUGAGGACUCGAAUCAACGGCACCACGAGGGCUAUACUGUCUCCUUCCCCCAAUCAGUGAAACUAAUCCCCCUGUGAAAAAGCAGGGAUAUCCCUAUAAGACGAGAAGACCCCAUGGAGCUUUAAACAUGACAACAUCUUUAAAAUUUCAUACACCCACCUUAUUAACAUGAAAGCAUUGUGCGUUAGUUUUAGGUUGGGGCGACCGCGGAGUAUAAGAAAACCUCCACAACGAAAGGGAAUAAGCCCUUACUUGAGAAAAACAUUUCUACAAAUUAUUAAUAUAACGUUUAAUGACCCGAUUAUCGAUUAACGAACCAAGUUACCCUGGGGAUAACAGCGCAAUCCAUUUUGAGAGCUCAUAUUGACAAAUGGGUUUACGACCUCGAUGUUGGAUCA